UUGGAGGGCAAGUCUGGUGCCAGCAGCCGCGGUAAUUCCAGCUCCAAUAGCGUAUAUUAAAGUUGUUGCAGUUAAAAAGCUCGUAGUUGAAUUUCGGGGUCAAUAGGUUGGUCGUGCCAAUGGUAUGUACUGGCUUUAUUGAUUCCUACCUCUUGACGAACUGUGAUGCCAUUAAUUUGGUGUUGCAGGAAAUCAGGACUGUUACCUUGAAAAAAUUAGAGUGUUUAAAGCAGGCUUACGCUUGAAUACAUUAGCAUGGAAUAAUGAAAUAGGACGUUUGAACCUAUUUUGUUGGUUUCUAGGAUCGACAUAAUGAUUAAUAGGGAUAGUUGGGGGCAUUAGUAUUCAAUUGUCAGAGGUGAAAUUCUUGGAUUUAUUGAAGACUAACUACUGCGAAAGCAUUUGCCAAGGAUGUUUUCAUUAAUCAAGAACGAAAGUUAGGGGAUCGAAGACGAUCAGAUACCGUCGUAGUCUUAACCAUAAACUAUGCCGACUAGGGAUCGGAUGAUGUUAAUUUUUUAAUGACUCAUUCGGCGCCUUACGGGAAACCAAAGUGUUUGGGUUC
Molecule: ribosomal RNA, 565 nt
Filed under: uncultured Glomeromycotina
Lineage: Eukaryota; Fungi; Glomeromycota
Description: SSU rRNA
Rfam family: Eukaryotic small subunit ribosomal RNA
Source: RNAcentral